CCUAUAAGACUGGGAUAACUUCGGGAAACCGGAGCUAAUGCCGGAUAACAUUUGGAACCGCAUGGUUCUAAAGUAAAAGAUGGUUUUGCUAUCACUUAUAGAUGGACCCGCGCCGUAUUAGCUAGUUGGUAAGGUAACGGCUUACCAAGGCAACGAUACGUAGCCGACCUGAGAGGGUGAUCGGCCACACUGGAACUGAGGCACGGUCCAGACUCCUACGGGAGGCAGCAGUAGGGAAUCUUCCGCAAUGGACGAAAGUCUGACGGAGCAACGCCGCGUGAGUGAUGAAGGUUUUCGGAUCGUAAAACUCUGUUAUUAGGGAAGAACAAAUGUGUAAGUAACUGUGCACAUCUUGACGGUACCUAAUCAGAAAGCCACGGCUAACUACGUGCCAGCAGCCGCGGUAAUACGUAGGUGGCAAGCGUUAUCCGGAAUUAUUGGGCGUAAAGCGCGCGUAGGCGGUUUCUUAAGUCUGAUGUGAAAGCCCACGGCUCAACCGUGGAGGGUCAUUGGAAACUGGGAAACUUGAGUACAGAAGAGGAAAGUGGAAUUCCAUGUGUAGCGGUGAAAUGCGCAGAGAUAUGGAGGAACACCAGUGGCGAAGGCGACUUUCUGGUCUGUAACUGACGCUGAUGUGCGAAAGCGUGGGGAUCAAACAGGAUUAGAUACCCUGGUAGUCCACGCCGUAAACGAUGAGUGCUAAGUGUUAGGGGGUUUCCGCCCCUUAGUGCUGCAGCUAACGCAUUAAGCACUCCGCCUGGGGAGUACGACCGCAAGGUUGAAACUCAAA
Molecule: ribosomal RNA, 790 nt
Filed under: uncultured Staphylococcus sp.
Lineage: Bacteria; Bacillati; Bacillota; Bacilli; Caryophanales; Staphylococcaceae
Description: bacterial SSU rRNA
Rfam family: Bacterial small subunit ribosomal RNA
Source: RNAcentral